CAACACUAGUGAUUGAAGGGGAAAAUUACCGCAAAACUUCUUCCAAACAACCACUUCUCUUUCAACCAAAAACAGAGAGAUCGUAGCGCACUUCUUGAAGUCCAACGAGAGUUCUAAACGUGGU
This 124-nucleotide small RNA is filed under the name Mycoplasmoides pneumoniae M129. Its description in RNAcentral is "Mycoplasma pneumoniae M129 ncRNA". Lineage: Bacteria; Bacillati; Mycoplasmatota; Mycoplasmoidales; Mycoplasmoidaceae. The record is from RNAcentral.